RNAcentral lists this ribosomal RNA (468 nucleotides) under uncultured bacterium. RNAcentral's name for it is "bacterial SSU rRNA". It matches the Rfam family "Bacterial small subunit ribosomal RNA", at positions 328 to 794 of the family's 1533-position model. The record is from RNAcentral.
GGCCCAGACUCCUACGGGAGGCAGCAGUGAGGCCUCUUGGUCAAUGGUCGGGAGCCUGCCCCCGCCAAGUCGCGUGCCGGAAGAAGGUCCUUCGUAUUGUCCCCUUCUUUUGUCGGGGCCCAAAGGCGGCGCCGCGUCUCCGGCUGCGUGUACCCGACGCCCCAGCAUCGGCUCCCUCCGUGCCUGCCGCCGCGGUAAUCCGGCGGAUGCGAGCGUUCUCCGGAUUUAUUGGGUUUAAAGGGUGCGCAGGCGGGAGAGCAAGGCAGCGGUAAAAGGUCGGGGCUCAACCCCGGCCGGCCGUUGAAACUGGUUUUCUAGAGUGGGAGAGAAGUAUGCGGAAGUCGUGGUGGAGCGGUGAAAUGCAGAGAGAUCACGAAGAACGCCGAUUGCGAAGGAAGCAUACCGGCGCCAUACUGACGCGGAGGCACGAAAGCGGGGGGAUCGAACAGGAGGAGAUACCCUAGUAAU